This 253-nucleotide ribosomal RNA is filed under the name uncultured bacterium. Its description in RNAcentral is "partial 16S ribosomal RNA". It matches the Rfam family "Bacterial small subunit ribosomal RNA", at positions 524 to 776 of the family's 1533-position model. The record is from RNAcentral.
UACAGAGGGUGCAAACGUUGUUCGGAAUUACUGGGCGUAAAGCGCGUGUAGGCGGCCCUGCAAGUCGGGUGUGAAAUCCCACGGCUCAACCGUGGAAGUGCAUUCGAAACUGCAGGGCUAGAGUCCUGGAGAGGAAGGUGGAAUGCUUGGUGUAGAGGUGAAAUUCGUAGAUAUCAAGCGGAACACCGGUGGCGAAGGCGGCCUUCUGGACAGUGACUGACGCUGAGACGCGAAAGCGUGGGGAGCAAACAGG